Molecule: small RNA, 27 nt
Filed under: Bombyx mori (domestic silkworm)
Lineage: Eukaryota; Metazoa; Arthropoda; Insecta; Lepidoptera; Bombycidae
Description: ovarian small RNA-11627
Source: RNAcentral
ACUACCGGGAGUCUGCCCGUCUGGCGU